Molecule: ribosomal RNA, 528 nt
Filed under: uncultured bacterium
Lineage: Bacteria
Description: bacterial SSU rRNA
Rfam family: Bacterial small subunit ribosomal RNA
Source: RNAcentral
AGCGAAUAGAUACCCCGGUAGUCCUGGCCCUAAACCGAUGAGUGCUUGGUGUGGCGGGUAGUCGAUCCCUGCCGUGCCGAAAGCUAACGCAUUAAGCACUCCGCCUGGGGAGGUACGGUCGCAAGGCUGAAACUCAAAGGAAAUUGACGGGGGCCCGGCACAAGCGGUGGAGCAUGUGGUUUAAUUUCGACGCAACGCGAAGAACCUUACCCACGGCUCGAAAUGCAGGGGACGAGACGGCGAAAGUCGUUUUCCGCAAGGACUCCUGUAUAGGUGCUGCAUGGCUGUCGUCAGCUCGUGUCGUGAGAUGUUUGGGUUUAAGUCCCGCAACGAGCGCAACCCUUGUUCGCUGUUGCCAUCAGGUCAAGCUGGGCACUCUGCGAAGACUGCCGGUGAUAAACCGGAGGAAGGUGGGGAUGACGUCAAGUCAGCAUGGCCUUUAUGUCUGGGGCCACACACGUGCUACAAUGGCCGGUACAAAGCGUCGCAAGCCCGCGAGGGGGAGCUAAUCGCAUAAAGCCGGUCUCA